GGAAGAAGACAUGGCGGAUGAUAUGGGUGAUGGCGAGGGAGCUGACGUAGAAGUUGAGAUGGAAAUGGAAAUAGGAUAGUGUCACAGGGACGAAGCUACAU
This 101-nucleotide non-coding RNA is filed under the name Pyramimonas parkeae. Lineage: Eukaryota; Viridiplantae; Chlorophyta; Pyramimonadophyceae; Pyramimonadales; Pyramimonadaceae. The record is from RNAcentral.